GUGCUCGCUUCAGCAGCACAUAUACUAAAAUUGGAAUGAUACAGAGAAGCAUGGCCCCUGCGCAAGGAUGACACGCAAAUUCGUGAAGAUUUCAUCACACUC
This is a small nuclear RNA of Octodon degus (degu), 102 nucleotides long. Lineage: Eukaryota; Metazoa; Chordata; Mammalia; Rodentia; Octodontidae. The record is from Ensembl.